CACUCACAAGGCUUCCUCAGGGCUCGCAGGAAGGAGUGAAGACUUGUGUCUGGGUUCGGACAGACAGGAUGGGGCGCUGGCUGGGUGAGGGGUUUAAAGGGCUGCCGCCGUGGUGAUGUCAGCCUCCCCCACUGGCUCGCUCCUCGGCCCCCUCCCUGCUAGAGGAAGCCGGCUCCGCUCCCCACCCCCGGCUCCCCCAGUGACUCCACACAGGCUCCAUAUUUGGGGAAAGACACCAAGUUGGAGCAGUCUACCGGGGCUGCCGAGACAUUCUCUGCAUGCUUUGGAGAUGGAGCGGGCCGGGGCGGGGCACGCUGCCGGCGGGGAGCCGGCCCGGGAAAAGCCUUUUAUGGACAGGACCCUGCCCGGACUUACGGCUGCUCCUACUUCACUGUUCUCUGGCCCCGAGUUUGAGAAGAGGGGGAGUUCAAUAGAGUCUGGCUGGAGAGAGGGGCAAGGGGCUGGGGAGCCGGGAAUCCCAGGGGUUUGUGGGGACAAACCAGCCACCCUCUCCUCCUGGGGCUUUUAGCUCUGAUGGGACAUGGGAUCCAACCUUUCCUGAGGACCUACUCCACACCAGGCCCUUUGCAGUGCUCUCAUUGAAUACUCACAGCUACAGUGUGAGGGUGUAAUUACAUCCCCAUUUUAUAGAUGAGGAAACUGAGGCCCCGAGUGCGUCUUCCUCAAGGCCACAUGGUGAAUGGAACAGUCCCUACCAGCCUGGAAAACAGACCAGCCUCUGUCACUCCAGAGAUAACCCACUCUCAUCUUGCUCGUACCUGGCUUCAGGGAUCUUGGGGAGAGAUAAGAGGUUAAAAAAGGGACAUAUCAAAACUCCCUCCUCUUGGAGCCUGCCCAGCUUUCAUCACCCUCCUGCCUCGGCCUGCACGCUGAGCGGAUUAUAAACGCCGCAUCAGGGAGCACUGCUUGGGCCUGUGGCUUGAAAACGGAAAUGCAACCAUAGCAUGGAGACGCUCUGAGAAAAGAUCCAGACCCACCUCAUCUCCCAGCCCUUCAAGCAGAGCUAUAAAAACAAGUUUGGGAGAAAAACACAUUCCCAUCCCCAAAGCAGAGGCCCCGCCUGAGCUCCCCCAUCCUCAGCAUCUGGGGUGGACCAGGUAUGUGUGUGCAUGACUAACACAGAAC
This 1146-nucleotide long non-coding RNA is filed under the name Homo sapiens (human). RNAcentral describes it as "HSALNT0181729". Lineage: Eukaryota; Metazoa; Chordata; Mammalia; Primates; Hominidae. The record is from RNAcentral.